GGCCGAGACAUCGUCGUAACCUUCGUUGGGAAGCGUUUCUAGAAUCUUCGUACCCUCAAAAGGUGGGGGGUGUCAUUCCGAAGCAACCGAGCUCUUUUCUAUGUCUUAGAAAUACAUGAUUUUCACAUCUUGCAUGUUGCAUUGUAGGAUUGCAUUGUAGUACCUUUUCCUUAUGCUUCUAAAUGUUAACCUAGUGUGCAUGGAAUACUUGGUGAAAUGGAUAGGUAAGGAUUGGGUCGGAACAUGGAUCCUAUAGUGCCAAAAGAAAGAGAUGAACUCGAUGGUUAUUCAGUGACAUAGAGAGUGGCAUUAAUGUAGUGUACUUGACACUAGAGGUUCAUGAACUUAGGGAUAGGUAGAUUCCCUAGUAAAUGAUUUGUGAACAAUGAACUUAGUAUAGCUAAGUAUGCAUGAUUGUCGAAAUAGAUGAGUUCCGAGAGAAUGUUGGCCCUAGUUCGUAGGGUAUACUCACGUGGAGAGGAUAGAUCAAGCUCACGGUCUGUUAUUUAGGAUGGUAAAGCCAUCCAUAUCCUCACAUGGAGAGAAUUUGUCAGUACUCCGGAGUGUCGGGCGAUUAUGACAGAGUUGAUGUCUGUAGACAGUCCCGGGUUCGGGGGCACAUGGAGUCUCCUUACCCUAUGGGAUGGAUAUGUGAGGCGUAGGCAAACCCAAGGGUUUCGCCACAGAUUGGGUAAAUGAAAAGUUAAUAUUGUCAUCGAACAUUGCUUAUCGAAUAUGGAUCGAACUUGUUAGCAUGAUAGUAAACUUUUACUAAAUGAUGCAUGCAUUCAUUUCACAUGAUUAUGGGCAUAGUAGCAUAGUUUUUCUAUUAUGUAUUUACAGCUUUGAUGUAUAUAUUUAUCUGUUUCGUUGUUACUUUUGCCUACUUGGACCUAGUGGGGAGAUCGGCGGAGUCGGCGGCCGAGCCCACUGGGAACUAUGGAAGAUAGUUCUCACCCCACUUUAUUUCCAGGGCUAGGUACAGGUUUGCCGGGCGAGGACCGCGGCAAGGGCAUCGCGCCCGACCAGUGAGGAUUAUUAGUAGAGUAGUAGCUUUUCUUUUGCAUUAGCACACCUAUGUAUUUGAGAGAGAUUCAUGUAAGUGAGGACUUUGGAGAGCUAUGUACUUGAUGAGCAU
RNAcentral lists this long non-coding RNA (1138 nucleotides) under Ananas comosus (pineapple). RNAcentral describes it as "long non-coding RNA (ACOM_LNC008888)". The record is from RNAcentral. Lineage: Eukaryota; Viridiplantae; Streptophyta; Magnoliopsida; Poales; Bromeliaceae.